GAUAAACGCUGGCGGCGCACAUAAGACAUGCAAGUCGAACGGACUUAACCAUUAGUCUACUAUUGGAGCGGUUAGUGGCGGACUGGUGAGUAACGCGUAAGCAAUCUGCCUAUCAGAGGGGAAUAACAGUGAGAAAUCACUGCUAAUACCGCAUAACGUACGGUCCUCACAUGGGGACUGUACCAAAGAUUUUAUCGCUGGAAGAUGAGCCCGCGGCCGAUUAGGUAGUUGGUGAGAUAACAGCCCACCAAGCCGACGAUCGGUAGCCGGACUGAGAGGUUGAUCGGCCACAUUGGGACUGAGACACGGCCCAG
Molecule: ribosomal RNA, 314 nt
Filed under: uncultured bacterium
Lineage: Bacteria
Description: bacterial SSU rRNA
Rfam family: Bacterial small subunit ribosomal RNA
Source: RNAcentral